UGGGGAAUUUUUCGCAAUGGGGGAAACCCUGACGAAGCAACGCCGCGUGGAGGAUGAAGGCCUUCGGGUCGUAAACUCCUGUCGACUGGGAAGAAUGCACCUGACCUAAUACGUCAAAGUGUUGACUGUACCGGUGGAGGAAGCCACGGCUAACUCUGUGCCAGCAGCCGCGGUAAUACAGAGGUGGCAAGCGUUGUUCGGAAUUACUGGGCGUAAAGGGCGCGUAGGCGGCCCGCCAAGUCCCGUGUGAAAGCCCCCGGCUCAACCGGGGAACGGCGCGGGAAACUAGCAGGCUUGAGUUCGGGAGAGGGAAGCGGAAUUCCGGGUGUAGCGGUGAAAUGCGCAGAUAUCCGGAGGAACACCGGUGGCGAAGGCGGCUUCCUGGACCGACACUGACGCUGAGGCGCGAAAGCUAGGGGAGCAAACGGG
RNAcentral lists this ribosomal RNA (429 nucleotides) under uncultured bacterium. RNAcentral describes it as "bacterial SSU rRNA". It matches the Rfam family "Bacterial small subunit ribosomal RNA", at positions 355 to 776 of the family's 1533-position model. The record is from RNAcentral.